CACCUCCCGAUUUCUUGCCCCUUGGAUCUAAAUAUUGUUCUGAGUGACUAAAAAGAAAAGAAGGAAAAGUAAAUGAAGUGGACUUGGAGUCUUUAGUGACCAAGUCAUUUCAAACAUAU
RNAcentral lists this small nucleolar RNA (119 nucleotides) under Echinops telfairi (small Madagascar hedgehog). Its description in RNAcentral is "Small nucleolar RNA SNORA61 (ENSETEG00000025098.1)". Lineage: Eukaryota; Metazoa; Chordata; Mammalia; Afrosoricida; Tenrecidae. The record is from RNAcentral.